This 72-nucleotide transfer RNA is filed under the name Vicugna pacos (alpaca). Its description in RNAcentral is "tRNA-Und (NNN) (tRNA-Und-NNN-63-1)". It matches the Rfam family "tRNA". Rfam says of the family: Transfer RNA (tRNA) molecules are approximately 80 nucleotides in length. Their secondary structure includes four short double-helical elements and three loops (D, anti-codon, and T loops). The record is from RNAcentral. Lineage: Eukaryota; Metazoa; Chordata; Mammalia; Artiodactyla; Camelidae.
GGAGGAUAUAGCUCAGUGGUAGUGUGUGUGCUUAGUAUCACAAGGUCCUGGGUUCAAUUCCCAGUACCUCCA